RNAcentral lists this ribosomal RNA (497 nucleotides) under uncultured bacterium. RNAcentral describes it as "partial 16S ribosomal RNA". It matches the Rfam family "Bacterial small subunit ribosomal RNA", at positions 28 to 507 of the family's 1533-position model. The record is from RNAcentral.
GAUGAACGCUGGCGGCGUGCCUAAUACAUGCCAGUCGAGCGAACAGACGAGGAGCUUGCUCCUCUGACGUUAGCGGCGGACGGGUGAGUAACACGUGGAUAACCUACCUAUAAGACUGGGAUAACUUCGGGAAACCGGAGCUAAUACCGGAGAAUAUAUUGAACCGCAUGGUUCAAUAGUGAAAGACGGUUUUGCUGUCACUUAUAGAUGGAUCCGCGCCGCAUUAGCUAGUUGGUAAGGUAACGGCUUACCAAGGCGACGAUGCGUAGCCGACCUGAGAGGGGGAUCGGCCACCCUGGAACUGAGCCACGGUCCAGAGUCCUACGGGAGGGAGCAGUAGGGAAUCUGACGCAAUGGGCGAAAGCCUGACGGAGCAACGCCGAGUGAGUGAUGAAGGUCUUCGGAUCGGAAAACUCUGUUAUUAGGGAAGAACAAAUGUGUAAGUAACUAUGCACGUCGUGACGGUACCUAAUCAGAAAGCCACGGCUAACUACGUG